This 1061-nucleotide long non-coding RNA is filed under the name Marmota monax (woodchuck). The record is from RNAcentral. Lineage: Eukaryota; Metazoa; Chordata; Mammalia; Rodentia; Sciuridae.
GCGGACACAACAUCUUUGUUUGUAUGUAGUGCUGAGGAUCGAACACGGGCCGCACGCAUGCCAGGAGAGUGCGCUACCGCUUGAGCCACAUCCCCAGCCCUUCAUAUUUUAUUUGAUUGGAAUUGGCAAUUAAGUUUCUAGUGAUCAAUGUCUUCUCUUGAUUUUUUUCCUACUUCAUGUUGCUAAAGGUAGGUCAGUUUUGUUGAUCUUUUCAAAGUCCUAAAUUUUGGUUUCAUUAGCUUUAUCUUGCUUUUCUAGUCUCUACUUAUCUUUGUUCUCAUCACUACUUCCAUCUUUUUGUUAGAUUUUGAUUUAGUUUGUUCUUCUACUUCUAGGGCCUCAUGUUGUAAUGUUAGGUUGUUGAUUCGAGAUCUUUUUUUUUUUUUAAAUUUUCAUUUUAUAGAAUUUCCCCCUUAGAACUGCUCUCAUGAUUCCAUAAUUGUGGCAUUUUGUGUUUUCAUUUUCUUUCAUCCCUGAAUAUUUUGUAAUUUUCCUUCUGAUUUCUUCCUUUAUCCAUUCAUAAAGUAUGUUGGUCAAUUUUGACAAAUUUGUGAAUUGUCUAGUUGUGAUUUAUGUUAUGAACUCCUCACUUAAGCCUAUUAUUUGGGAAGAUACUAUAGUGCCCCUUUAUCCAUGAGGGCACAUUCUAAGAGCAUCAGUGAUGCCAAACUGGAUUGUACAAAACUCUAAAUGUGUUAUAUUUCCCUAUAUGUACAUGCUUAUGAUUACACUUAAUUUAUAAAUUAGGCACAAUGAAAGACUAACAGCAAAAUUAAUAAUGAAAUAGAACACUAUAUUUGAACAAUUUAUGUGAAUGUGAUCUCUCUCACUCUCAAAAUAUCUUGUAUGCAGCUUUGGAGAAAGGGAUGAUUCAUUCACAUGCUGGUAGAAUGAAUUGGAAUGAUUCAAAAAUUUGUAAUUCUAGUCAGAAUGGCUCUCUAUUUAAAAUUCACAAAAAGUUUUUAAAAUAUCCAUUAAAUAUUUUAGACUUCUCACUAAAGGAUGUGGAGUAUCUCUGUUAUUUAGUUCUUUGCUAUUAUUAAUUAAAUUGUAUAGUUUCC